ACGGAAGGCAGCAGUGGGGAAUAUUGCACAAUGGGGGAAACCCUGAUGCAGCGACGCCGCGUGAGCGAAGAAGUAUUUCGGUAUGUAAAGCUCUAUCAGCAGGGAAGAAAAUGACGGUACCUGACUAAGAAGCUCCGGCUAAAUACGUGCCAGCAGCCGCGGUAAUACGUAUGGAGCAAGCGUUAUCCGGAUUUACUGGGUGUAAAGGGAGCGCAGGCGGUGGUUCAAGUCUGAUGUGAAACUCCGGGGCCCAACCCCGGAACUGCAUUGGAAACUGUGCCACUAGAGUGUCGGAGGGGUAAGUGGAAUUCCUAGUGUAGCGGUGAAAUGCGUAGAUAUUAGGAGGAACACCAGUGGCGAAGGCGGCUUACUGGACGACAACUGACGCUGAGGCUCGAAAGCGUGGGGAGCAAACAGGAUUAGAUACCCUGGUA
Molecule: ribosomal RNA, 434 nt
Filed under: uncultured Lachnospiraceae bacterium
Lineage: Bacteria; Bacillati; Bacillota; Clostridia; Lachnospirales; Lachnospiraceae
Description: partial 16S ribosomal RNA
Rfam family: Bacterial small subunit ribosomal RNA
Source: RNAcentral